This 229-nucleotide ribosomal RNA is filed under the name uncultured bacterium. RNAcentral's name for it is "partial 16S ribosomal RNA". It matches the Rfam family "Bacterial small subunit ribosomal RNA", at positions 568 to 796 of the family's 1533-position model. The record is from RNAcentral.
CGUGUAGGCGGGUAUGCAGGUCAGGUGUGAAAGCCCUCGGCUCAACCGAGGAAGUGCAUCUGAAACCGUAUAUCUUGAGUACGUGAGAGGCAGAUGGAAUUCCCAGUGUAGAGGUGAAAUUCAUAGAUAUUGGGGAGAACACCGGUGGCGAAAGCGGUCUGCUGGCACGAUACUGACGCUGAGACGCGAAAGCGUGGGGAGCAAACAGGAUUAGAUACCCUGGUAGUCC